UGCGAAAUGGCUAAGAGCAGUGAGAACACUCCUAAGGUACUUUGUUUGCCGUGGUGAUCUGAUAGGCUCCUAGGGAAAGGUUAGGUUUAGACUCA
Molecule: long non-coding RNA, 95 nt
Organism: Cucurbita moschata (crookneck pumpkin)
Lineage: Eukaryota; Viridiplantae; Streptophyta; Magnoliopsida; Cucurbitales; Cucurbitaceae
Exons: 3
Source: RefSeq, a predicted model, not a curated record